AGCAGCCGCGGUAAUUCCAGCUCCAAUAGCGUAUAUUAAAGUUGUUGCAGUUAAAAAGCUCGUAGUUGAAUUUCGGAAUCUGUCCGUUGGUCGGGCUUAACUGUCCGUACUGAUGUGAUGGGUUCUUACCUUCUGAAUAACCAUCAUGCCAUUAAUUUGGUGUGUUGGGGAAGCAGGACUAUUACCUUGAAAAAUUAGAGUGCUCAAAGCAGGCUAGUGCCUGAAUACAUUAGCAUGGAAUAAUAAAAUAGGACGGCAUGGUUCUAUUUUGUUGGUUUCUAGGAUCACCGUAAUGAUUAAUAGGGAUAGUUGGGGGCAUUAGUAUUCAAUUGUCAGAGGUGAAAUUCUUGGAUUUAUUGAAGACUAACUUCUGCGAAAGCAUUUGCCAAGGAUGUUUUCAUUAAUCAAGAACGAAAGUUAGGGGAUCGAAGACGAUCAGAUACCGUCGUAGUCUUAACCAUAAACUAUGCCGACUAGGGAUCGGGCGAUGUUAAUUUAUAAUGACUCGUUCGGUCCG
This 517-nucleotide ribosomal RNA is filed under the name uncultured Glomeromycotina. RNAcentral describes it as "SSU rRNA". It matches the Rfam family "Eukaryotic small subunit ribosomal RNA", at positions 569 to 1087 of the family's 1831-position model. Lineage: Eukaryota; Fungi; Glomeromycota. The record is from RNAcentral.